GUAGGUGAACCUGCGGAAGGAUCAUUACAAUUCAGUAGCUUGCUACUGAUCGGGAGGCGCUGUAAGCCCGCAUAGUUUAAUCACUGAUGAGCGGCAGGCCCUCUGUCUGUACCCUUGUCUUUUGCGCACUCAUGUUUCCUCGGCGGGCUUGCCCGCCGAUUGGACAACCCUAUAACCUUUUUAAUUUUCAAUCAGCGUCUGAAAAAAUUUAAUAAUUACAACUUUCAACAACGGAUCUCUUGGUUCUG
Molecule: unclassified non-coding RNA, 248 nt
Filed under: rhizosphere metagenome
Description: partial ribosomal RNA internal transcribed spacer region
Source: RNAcentral